RNAcentral lists this non-coding RNA (29 nucleotides) under Mus musculus (house mouse). Lineage: Eukaryota; Metazoa; Chordata; Mammalia; Rodentia; Muridae. The record is from RNAcentral.
UGGGAUUAAAGGUGUGUACUAAAGGAUUC